RNAcentral lists this ribosomal RNA (478 nucleotides) under uncultured bacterium. Its description in RNAcentral is "partial 16S ribosomal RNA". It matches the Rfam family "Bacterial small subunit ribosomal RNA", at positions 28 to 507 of the family's 1533-position model. The record is from RNAcentral.
GACGAACGCUGGCGGCGUGCUUAACACAUGCAAGUCGAACGGGAUUUAGUAAACAGAAACCUCGGUGGAAGAUUACUAAUGAGAGUGGCGAACGGGUGAGUAACGCGUGAGCAACCUGCCUAUGACAGUGGGAUAGCCUCGGGAAACCGGGAUUAAUACCGCAUAAAAUCGUAGAAACACAUGUUUUAACGGUCAAAGAUUUAUCGGUCAUAGAUGGGCUCGCGUCUGAUUAGCUAGUUGGUGAGAUAACAGCCCACCAAGGCGACGAUCAGUAGCCGGUCUGAGAGGAUGAACGGCCACAUUGGAACUGAGACACGGUCCAAACUCCUACGGGAGGCAGCAGUGGGGAAUAUUGCACAAUGGGGGAAUCCCUGAUGCAGCGACGCCGCGUGAACGAAGAAGGUAUUCGUAUCGUAAAGUUCUGUCCUAUGGGAAGAUAAUGACAGUACCAGAGAAGAAAGCUCCGGCUAAAUACGUG